ACUGCAUACACCAAGGAAGCAGGAAGCGCUUGCAAGUGGUGGGAGCCACAGAGAUUGAAGAAAAGAGGGAAAGAGGCGGCAGCAGACAUGGAGAGAAGAGCGGUUAGAGCACCUGUCGCUCAGUUCCAAAUUGAUCACCGUGAGGAUCAAUGAAACAUGAAUGGAUGGAUGAGGACAGUACAGAAUAGAUCUGACAUCCAUGGAGCGCAUUGACUCCUUCAAAGGAAUAGAUGGAUUCAUGAAGAAAGAAGAUGGUUGGUUGGGUACAAUUUCGUAUGGUGACAGAUCUGAUGGAUUUUCUGUUUGGGCAAAGCCCUCAUCAGAAUCAGUGGAGGAAUCAUAAUCAACAUAAUCAUAAUCAAGGUUUGGAUUUUUCAUCAUCCCGCUGUGAUGUUUUCAACAACCUUUUUGUGGAUAAAAUCUCUCGCAUUCAAGCCAACUUGGACUCCACGGUUAUGGGGAUAUUUCCGAAGGUGCUGGAAAGUGAUGAAUGAUUUCCACAUCAAGGCUUUUAUGGCGUUGUGUGAUGACAACCCCCACGUGAUGUUAAUGCACAGUCCACGACCAGUGAAUUAGGUGCUGGAUGUCGUAGCAGGGGCUGAGAUUGAUCCUGCUGCUGCACCUGUUCAGGAACCUGCAAGGCUCUCCAUCGCAAAAAAAUCAGCAUAGUCAUCUGGCAGCGUAUGGUGGAAUCCGCAGGUAUGUUCUGGCUGUCUUGGUGCUUGAGAAUGUGUCGAUAUCGAGGCUUGUAGCGACGUAGAAGGCUCUGUCGGCAUCGAUGUUGAAAGCUGUGUCGGUAUCGAUGAUGAAGGCUGUGUCAAUAUUGGAGGUGGUCUCAAUGUUGUAGACUGUGUUAAUGUUGAGGCUUGCAUCAAUGUUGAGGGCUGUGUCAAUGUAGAGGGCAGUAUCAAUGCCGAAGGCUGUUUCAGCAUGGAUGGUUCCAUCAAUGUUGAAGAUUGUAGCAAGGGUAUCUGCUGGAUCCGCAAGGGUGAGCAAGAAGGAGUUUUCGGUGGGCGUCCAGGCUCUUCCUCGUCUAUCUCGACAUCGAGCCCAGUAUGCAGAAAACCGUGGAAGGUGGACCCUGACGAAGUACUUGAAGCCGAGUCUAUCAGGUCCCACAGCCAUUGUCUGAAGACUUCAUCAUGUCCAUCAACGCAGUUUUAGACUGCUGAUGUGCAGUUCCGCGGACAUCAUGUUGUGUCUUCGACGCCAUGGAGAUUGAUUCCGACGACACCUUCGACGUCGUAGAGCUCGUUGUCGGCCUCGACAGUGACUUCAUGUUCAACGUUGACAGGGAGGCUGGUGAAGUACUCGGGCGCGGUGUUGGCGGGUGAAGCGUCUCAUCAUAUAAUGCAGCCCGAAGGCACCGCGACCUAUUUUGUCUAGUUUGUUUGGAGAAGGAACAAACUUUACAUGUUGUAGUAGUGUUCUUCUCCUAGACACAUCAGACAUGCGUCGUGAUAAUCUGUUGAAGGCAGUUUUGCGUGGCAUUUAGUACACCUCUUAAAAGUCUUUUUAGUCUCCAUGGUUGUCAGGCAAACGAUCUUUCGACAGAAACAAUCCACUUAACAGAGUCAGUUAGUUUUCUGGUCCGAGGUCAAGCACCAGUAAGGAAAAAACGAUCUUUCUCCAGAGUUAGUCCGCAAUGCAAAUCCAGUCAGUUUGCCGAUCUGAGUUAAACCGUUAGAAAUAUCUAUUAAGUCAAGUCCAGUCCGUAAUCCAAGGCAAAGUCCGUUGUCCGAUCCAAGUUUGUCAGUGAAAGAAAAAAUAGUUCUGAGGAGCUACAGCUAUGAGGUUUGAACGCUAAGGCAGUCAAAGAGAAACUAGAAAAUGGAUGCCCCAACUGCCUUUUUUAACAACUUAGCACAGCAAGUGCAGGUGGGAAGGGGCGUCACGAGGAGCUAAUCAAUCAGCCCGCGAGGUCCCUGAGCAGGCGCAGAACCCAUUCCUUAUUACCACAACGGAUCACGAUCCAGAUAGUGUAGUUAUCCAACCAGAAGACUUAACAAAAAUAUGAAAUCUUCAAGAAUGUUAAAGAAAAUGUUUAGCAGCUCUGAAUGUUCUUAUUUGAUGGUAAACAUCCCAUACGUACUGAAGCUGAGUAAGGAUCUUCAGGAUACAUAUCUAGUAGUAGCUGUGGUGGGUUUAGAGAGGUAAUAUACUUUGUUACUAAAAUAUUUCUUCCUUCGUUGUUAAAAACUGAGGUAAUUAUUCUCCUUUUUGGAAACAAUGCCUUACAUGUUUUCUUAAAAAUGCAUGCUCUUUGCAAAACAAUUUCAUCUU
Hemicordylus capensis (graceful crag lizard) is the source of this 2283-nucleotide long non-coding RNA. RefSeq lists it as uncharacterized. The transcript is spliced from 9 exons. The record is from RefSeq and is a predicted model, not a curated record. Lineage: Eukaryota; Metazoa; Chordata; Lepidosauria; Squamata; Cordylidae.